UAACAUUUGGAAUGAGGGUGUGAGCAACUGCAAAUUCCCAUCUCCCUUCUCAUUCCAGCCUCAUUGUAACACACAUUCUACGCCUAGCCUGGCUUUCUUGCUCUCCCUCAUCUCAUUGUUUAGGAGGCCAAAUCUGAAGUUCUUUCCAGGGAGUGGCUCUGUUCAUCUUAUUCGCCAGCCAAAGUAGGAACAGCAUAAGAAGAGAGAGACACAUUCAGCAGCCAAAGGACUCGGUGGAAAGAGCAGAACACUAUAGACAAUAUGUCGCUCUUGGGACCCAAGGUGCUGCUGUUUCUUGCUGCAUUCAUCAUCACCUCUGACUGGAUACCCCUGGGGGUCAAUAGUCAACGAGAAGACUAUGUGACUCAAGCGACUCCAGAAACAUUCACAGAAGAUCCUAAUCUGGUGAAUGAUCCCGCUACAGAUGAAACAGUUUUGGCUGUUUUGGCUGAUAUUGCACCUUCCACAGAUGACUUGGGUCCUAAGUGAGGCAGUGUGGCAGUUACAGAAGUAGUAACUUCUA
RNAcentral lists this small RNA (523 nucleotides) under Pongo abelii (Sumatran orangutan). RNAcentral describes it as "processed transcript". The record is from RNAcentral. Lineage: Eukaryota; Metazoa; Chordata; Mammalia; Primates; Hominidae.